RNAcentral lists this transfer RNA (72 nucleotides) under Bos taurus (domestic cattle). It matches the Rfam family "tRNA". From Rfam's summary of the family: Transfer RNA (tRNA) molecules are approximately 80 nucleotides in length. Their secondary structure includes four short double-helical elements and three loops (D, anti-codon, and T loops). The record is from Rfam by way of RNAcentral. RNAcentral also lists the same sequence under 3 other names. Lineage: Eukaryota; Metazoa; Chordata; Mammalia; Artiodactyla; Bovidae.
UCCCUCGUAGCUCAGUCGGUAAAGAAUCUGCCUGCAAUGCAGGAGACCCAGGUUCGAUUCCUGGGUUGGGAA